GCCAAAGAACUUGCGGAAGAAUCUUGCUUAAUUCUUGCGCUGAUGUGUAAACACAGCCGCAAGCGGCUAGCAAUAACUUGCAGCAAUAACUUCUGCAAGCGACUUUCUAGUGUAAACGCAGCUUUAGACUUUGGUCUAACAUUAGUCUGUGCUUUGCAAUGUUGUAAUUGGUCGUCGGUCGAUUUAGAAGUGAAGUUUGUUUGUAAACAAACGAAGAGGUGGUGUGUUAAGAAGUAGGACUUGUGGCCUAUAGUACCAAAUGUCAUUGUUUAUGUGGCAAAAGCAAUACAGUUAACGGAAUAUCAUUUCAAAAAUAUAUUCAUAAAGUGUGCUUCCAGUGAUGUCGAAACGAUCAGUGGUAUGGUCAGCAAAGUUGAUCUUGCAGCACUUCAUCCGAAAAAAGCUGUUCACGAGAGAUCAUAGCAGUUUCUUUUCCGGCGCUAGGAAGUGCGUUUAUAUAAGUAGUGCCUGUUAUGUUGAGGGACGCAGAGAAGAAAGUGCUAUCAGCAAUUUUAAUUCAUCACGAGUAACAACUCAACAAAGUCCACAGGAGCUCCUUAUCCAAAAUGCAGUGAGCAGAGAUGAGCCUCUCACACUGGAGGAGUGGUCGUCAUUAUGCGAGGAAAUACUGGUCAGCAAAGGCAGACUGAAACCUACAACACUGGCUGCAUAUAUAAUGUCACAGUGUGUCAGAACCAGUAAUCUAAAAGUGGGUCUAUCGUUGCUGACAUACCUGGAAUCCACAGCUUCUGGACCAAACCUUGCGACAUUAAGUGCUUUCUUCAAGCUUUGGCAUGCUUGUGGAGGAAGUUAUGAAGAAAAGGAAAUGUUGUCACGAUAUGACAACUUGAGAAAACAGUAUCCUCUGUUAGAUGCUGCUACAUCUGAAAGUGCUGCAAUGGCACUUUCACGUACUUCGAGGUGGCAAGAUGCUUUUGAACUACUGGAUAUGAUUAAGCUGACCCACCAUCCUAAAUCUGCUGUUUACACUUCCUUGGCUGUUGCUGCAUUUCGUAAUGGAAAUAAUGAACUUGCCCACUCAGUCAUGGAGGAAAUAUUUGAACGGGAUGAUAGACGACCGGGUCCUGAGGCCUAUUUGGCUUGGCUGCAGCACAGUGAUCCAGAAGAACUGUUACAAUUUAUUGCAACCCAUGGAGAAAAGCCUACUGACGAAGUAGUGUGUGCUUUGUCUGAGAAGCUGGAAGCUGACAGAGGAUUUCAAGCAAAUUUUACAACUGUAAACAAGAGGGGCAUUUGCCAGACAUGUAACAAUCAGUUGACACCACAGCUUCCCACACCAACUGAAUAUAAGCAGUUACAGGUGGCAAUGUUGGACCGGGUUUUACUAUCGGAUGAUGUAUUUCUUAAGACAUCACCUAAAGAGGUUGUUCACUUUCAAGACAUGUUAAAGAAGAACAGAACUUGGGAUGUAGUAAUAGAUGGCCUGAAUGUGGCAUUUGCUAGUGGCUCUUCUUCUAGUAGCAGUCAUGCCAAGCUGCUUUUUCUUGUAGUGGAACAGUUCUGGCGGCAAGGGAAAAAAGUGCUUGUACUUGGUCGCAAACACAUGAAAAACUGGCCCAAAAGACAGAUGGAAUCACUUUCUAAUUGUGCUCAGUUGUUUCUAGCUGACAAUUUAUCACAGGAUGAUCCUCUUGUACUACUAGCAGCACUACACAGUGGGCUUGGAACAAAAAUUGUUUCACGAGAUCUAAUGCGUACACACAUGUUCCUGCUGAAGGACAAGGAGCUUCGCAGUAUUUUUAGGCGCUGGCAGUAUUCACAUCAAUGCUUCUUUGAAAUUAAAAAUAAUGGAAGAGUUGUAAUUAAGGAUCCAUUGCCAUUCCACCCAUUUGCUCAGCAUCAUCAUGAUGGUUCAUGGCAUCUGCCUUAUGAGGUCCCAGGCUCAUCCCCAAAUAAGAGAUAUAAUCAUUUGGAAGUCCCAGAACAUUGGUUGUGCCUCUCAAAAGUAUAGGGAAGUUUUCUAAACAUAUAAGAAACUCAUGUAGAGGAAAGAAGGGAAAAGUAGCCAGGGCAGCACAAAUGACCACUGCAGAUUUUUUGCCAUGAACAAUGUUGCUGCCUACCGCGGAGCGGUCAAACCAAUUCUAAUAGACAUCAACAUUGUCAGUGAAUUUGGCAAAGGACGUAAGCUCCUCUAUUUUUCAAUAAAAAAAUUUCUGAUUUUCGUCAUCUAAUGUAAGCUUCUUCCUCAUCUGGCAAGUGACCAAAAGGUUCAGAAGAGAUUGAUGCAACACUUGUCAAAAUGACACGAGAAUCACUGCUUGAUGUCAGCACAAGCUGAUCGUGGAAAUGAUUGUAUCUUAUACUCCACACCCUGAAGAAAUAAGUUGUAUCUGUCACUAACAAUUAAAACAUAUGAAAUCAUUUGCUGCAAAUUUCUUUUAUGGGUUGCUGUUACACUUGAAUUGGAAUGUACAAGUAAAUAAAAUUUGU
Molecule: unclassified non-coding RNA, 2454 nt
Filed under: Schistocerca americana (American grasshopper)
Lineage: Eukaryota; Metazoa; Arthropoda; Insecta; Orthoptera; Acrididae
Description: mitochondrial ribonuclease P catalytic subunit, transcript variant X7
Source: RNAcentral